AUCACUAGCUCACUUUCAACUCGGUUGUAUUGAGUUUUCCUCCACACCACUUGUCUGCCUACUCAAUCUGAUCCACCAAACAAAUACUCCAGUAAACUAAUAAUCAGAGUAGAUUGUAUUGUGCACCCAAACAACCUAAAGGAAGUGGCCUUUUCAAGCAAAUCCAGAAAAAAACAAAACAAAAAAAAAACAACCACCAAAAACAAAGAGCUCAGAGUUCACACACAAACAUCUCUUUUGGAUUUAACAGUUAUAUCCAGUAGUGGGCAGCGGAUUGUCUUCAUGCACAUAGGAUAUGUAGACUUGGACGAAGAUCUGUAUUUGAGGAGGCCUGAGGUGAGAGAGUUCCGUAGCUCAGAGUAUCGCUCUUACUGACCGUGGACUACAGAUGACCAAGGAUAGGCCCGGACGCUGCAAUGGUGGACACACUGCUAGACGGACGUUGCCGGCUGCCUUGGUGGAGAGAGGCACCGCUGUGGGCUCCCACUCGCACAGCCAUAUCCCUCACCCCUGCAAACAGCUGGACUCUUAAGUUGAAUUAUGUUUUAUUUGUCUCCCAUUUUAUCAGACUGCACUCUCCCUGUUCUAGUAUGUAAAAUUGUUUUGUGUUUUUAUUGAACUCCUGGUAUUUUUUGUUUUAACCUUACUUUCUUGUUUCUCUUUUGAACUCACUGACCUAUACCUCUACCCACCAUCCUGGUGUAAUAGCCUUAAUACCUGGGCUUGAUUGUUUAGGUAUGUUGUUGUUCAGUGUUGUGUUUGCUCCAUACACAGUUUAAAAACAACUUUUGUGCUUAUAAAUCAUUUAAUUGUUUACCAUCCAAAUUUUCAACUUGGAAAAUAGCUCUUUGUAACUCUGUGAGCUUUACAAUACUCAUUCAUAAAAAUAGUGUCUCAGUUUGUUUCCUAGGAGUUCAUAUCUUCUUUUAGGGACCUCACUUGAGCAAGUACAGCAGUAGUAGCCUACAGUUGGUUUGCAAUCAUAAGGCAUUUGUCAUGUAUUAUUCUGUGUGACAUGCAAAUGCCUUUCUUACAUCAAAUAGGAUAUGCUCUACUUAAGCUUUAAUCAUGCAGGGACACUUGAGGAGGGUGAGCAGAAAAUUCACUUUCUCCCUUGAAAGCCAAAAGAGAUCCAGUAGCGUUCACUGUGGUCAAAUUAAUGUCAAGACAUGAAAUGUGAUGGUUGAAUAUUAUUUGUAAGGUUUAUAACAAAGUUCAAGCGGUGCAGUGGUUAGCACCUCACAGAUAGAAAGCUCCGGGUUCAAGACCUGGCUGAUCCGGGGCCUUUCUGUGCAGAGUCUGGAUGUUUGUCUCUGUGCCUGCGUGGGUUCUCUCCGGGUAG
This is a long non-coding RNA of Monopterus albus (swamp eel), 1342 nucleotides long. RefSeq lists it as uncharacterized. The record is from RefSeq and is a predicted model, not a curated record. The transcript is spliced from 3 exons. Lineage: Eukaryota; Metazoa; Chordata; Actinopteri; Synbranchiformes; Synbranchidae.